GAUGAACGCUGGCGGCGUGCUUAACACAUGCAAGUCGAACGGAAAUGUAAGGAAGCCUAGCGAAUUACAUUUUAGUGGCGGACGGGUGAGUAACGCGUGGAUAACCUGCCUUAUACUGGGGGAUAACAGUUAGAAAUGACUGCUAAUACCGCAUAAGCAUACGGAACCGCAUGGUUCUGUGUGAAAAACUCCGGUGGUAUAAGAUGGAUCCGCGUCUGAUUAGCUAGUUGGUGAGGUAAUGGCUCACCAAGGCGACGAUCAGUAGCCGGCCUGAGAGGGUGAACGGCCACAUUGGGACUGAGACACGGCCCAAACUCCUACGGGAGGCAGCAGUGGGGAAUAUUGCACAAUGGGCGAAAGCCUGAUGCAGCGACGCCGCGUGAGUGAAGAAGUAUUUCGGUAUGUAAAGCUCUAUCAGCAAGGAAGAAAAUGACGGUACUUGACUAAGAAGCCCCGGCUAACUACGUG
Molecule: ribosomal RNA, 468 nt
Filed under: uncultured organism
Description: bacterial SSU rRNA
Rfam family: Bacterial small subunit ribosomal RNA
Source: RNAcentral